UGGGGUUGUGGCUCAGUGGUAGAGGGCUUGGCUGGCACACAUGAGGCACUGGGUUAGAUCCUCAGCACCACAA
This 73-nucleotide transfer RNA is filed under the name Marmota monax (woodchuck). Its description in RNAcentral is "tRNA.Ala". Lineage: Eukaryota; Metazoa; Chordata; Mammalia; Rodentia; Sciuridae. The record is from RNAcentral.